GACGAACGCUGGCGGCGUGCUUAACACAUGCAAGUCGAACGAAGUGGCGAACGGGUGAGUAAUACGUGAGUAACCUGCCCUCCUUUUUGGGACAAGCCUUGGAAACGGGGUCUAAUACCGAAUAAAGGGGGAUGGGCUCGCGGCCUAUCAGCUUGUUGGGGGGGUGAUGGCCUACCAAGGCGGUGACGGGUAGCCGGCCUGAGAGGGUGACCGGCCCACUUGGGGAUGGGAUACGGCCCAGACGUCUACGGGUAGCAGCAGUAGGGAAUUUUCGGCAAUGGGAGGAAACCUGACCCAGCAACGCCGGGUGAGGGAAGAAGGUUUUCGGAACGUAAAGCUCUGUUGGUAAGGAAGGAGGACUUAACCAGAAAGGGACGGCUAACUACGUGCCAGCAGCCGCGGUAAUUC
Molecule: ribosomal RNA, 408 nt
Filed under: uncultured bacterium
Lineage: Bacteria
Description: partial 16S ribosomal RNA
Rfam family: Bacterial small subunit ribosomal RNA
Source: RNAcentral